RNAcentral lists this ribosomal RNA (293 nucleotides) under uncultured prokaryote. RNAcentral's name for it is "partial 16S ribosomal RNA". It matches the Rfam family "Bacterial small subunit ribosomal RNA", at positions 505 to 796 of the family's 1533-position model. The record is from RNAcentral.
GUGUCAGCAGCCGCGGUAAUACGUAGGUGGCAAGCGUUGUCCGGAAUUAUUCCCCGUAAAGGGCUCGCAGGCGGAAUCUUAAGUCUGAUGUGAAAGCCCCGGGCUCAACCGGGGAGGGUCAUUGGUUUCUGGGGAACUUGAGUGCAGAAGAGGAGAGUGGAAUUCCACGUGUAGCGGUGAAAUUGCGUAGAGAUGUGGAGGAACACCAGUGGCGAAGGCGACUCUCUGGUCUGUAACUGACGCUCACCAGCGAAAGCGUGGGGAGCGAACAGGAUUAGAUACCCCGGUAGUCC